This 1518-nucleotide unclassified non-coding RNA is filed under the name Leishmania donovani. RNAcentral describes it as "gene:unknown". Lineage: Eukaryota; Euglenozoa; Kinetoplastea; Trypanosomatida; Trypanosomatidae. The record is from RNAcentral.
CUCCUCAUUGCAUCACCUAAACACGACUUUCGUGUGCGCACGCCCAAGGCGCGUCCAUCCCCAUCGUCUGCCGCCUUCAUUCCACCAUGCAGACAGACACACCCAACACGCACACGCACACGCUUGUGGACAUCUGCCGGGGUAUGCAUGACUGUCGUGCAUGUGCAUGUGCAUGCGCGUGUGUGUGCGUGUGCGUGCGCACGCGGUAGUUGCCGGGGAGCCCUCACAGGCUCGUCCUUCCGUGCGCUGUUCUCUUCCUACUUGUUCUUCGUGUUGUUUGGCUGUGCUAGUCGCCUGUCGUUUAAAGCGUGCCUGUAUGUUUAACCGGUGUUGUUACGCAGCGGAUGCUGCGGUGGCUACCAAGAGCAUGUGCGAGCCCUCCCUGUCCUUUUCUCUGUGCUGCAGUGAUGGGUCGCGUGCGUAGAGAGGCGCGGAGGGAGGAAGUGGCCGAGCUGAUGGCCUUGCCUCUGGGAGAAGACAGAGAGAGAAGGGAGGGGGAAGAAGUGGGCUGCGGUGGGCCUGGUGGGGCCACACAUGAUUCUCCUUGGAACCCAUCCCUGAUGUAGCCAGAGGUGGAGGUGUUCAUGCACGCAUUUGACUGUUCCUUUUCUUGGCUUUCGUGUUGCCUUCGCUCGAGCGGCUUCCCGUGGCUGCAGCGCGGCGGUGCUGGCACUAAGGAGUUGAGAAGGGGGAGUGGGGCAACGUACCGUUGCGGGCACGCUGUUGUUAUCUCUUGCCUCUGUGUGCUCUCGCUCCCUCCCUCCGUUCCUCUGUCUUAUUGGUGUUGCUCUGGCACGGCCCCCCUCGUGUCUUCUUCUCUCUUCCAUCCCACCCUCCACCCAUCCGCACACACACACACACACACACACACACGGCCUGUUCCCUCUCUCCAUUCUACCCCUUUCUGACGUUUUUCUUUUUCGGUUAUGAUUGUGAUGCAACACCAUCCUCUAACCCUUUCCCAGAGCGGCCAUGGAGAGAAUAUGUGCGUGUCUGUGUGUGUGUGUGUGUGCCACGUCUCUUGCGAUAUCGGGGUGAGCCGAUGACGGCGACGGCAGUGGCGGUGCUCUGUAGAGUCCACGUAAGCACGAACAGGACUACUACGCAUAACGCGAAAAAAAAACAAAAAAACAUUGAGCAGGUUCAAGCGCGGGCGUAUGCAGCUAAUACGUGGUCUCUGUGCUGGAGGCCUGCUGCUGUGCAUCCUCAAAGUGGGUACUAGUAAUGAUGGCGGUGCGGUGGUGGUGGUGGGGACAGAGGUAUGGAUAGAAUGGCGGCCUUCUUUUUAGUUGUUGGCUCCUUCCCACUCGUACAAGCACAAACGGGCGCGGGUGGGAAAGCAGCGCGCAAGGAGGAAGCACACCGCGCCCAUGGACGCCUCCGUCUUGUUUGAGUGACGCAUGCUUAUCCCGUCCGUGUCUCCCUCUCUCUCUCGCCCUUUGCUUUGGCGUGCACCAUCGCCGUGGUUGGUCUUCGCUUUUUUUUUUGCGUUUCCGACUUCGCGGUUUGCGUGAGGAG